Lingula anatina is the source of this 81-nucleotide non-coding RNA. NCBI's taxonomy places the organism in Eukaryota, Metazoa, Brachiopoda, Lingulata, Lingulida, Lingulidae. The record is from Rfam.
UGCAAGUGAUGUUUUUAAUCACGAUGGUCUUCAUAAUAUCACUGAUGAAAAUGCCUGAUGGCAUGUUGCUGAUGCAGUAAA